CCUCUCGGCCUCUCCUCGCACCGUUCCCAGGCACGCAGCGCUCGCCCUAGCCGACACGCAGGCACGCAGCGCCGCCGGAGGCCGAUGUCAACCGUCGGAGGCGACCCUGGCGGCGACGCCCCAUCCCCCACGCCGGCCGCGCCCGGCCUCCCGCGAGCCCCUCCUCUUCCGCUCGGAGGGAGCAGCAGCCGAGCAGGAACGAGCAACACUGGCGGCGGCCCCCCGCCACCCGCGCCGGCGGUGCCCGGCCCCGCACCCGCCCCUCCUCUUCGGCUCAGAGGGAUCAGCAGCCGGGCAGGGACGGGCAACCCUGUCGGCGGCGCCCCGCCCCCCGUGGCACAGAAACAGAAGAUGAAGAGAAGUGGAAUUUUUGGCAGUAGCAUAUUUGCAAUGUGGGAAAAGGCUUCAAAGGCAAGGAAAAUAAACGAAGUAUCCACGCCGAAUCAGACAGUAGCUACAUCUUGUACUUGUACUUCUCCUGUUCAUCUUGAGAGCAAUUUGCAGUUGUGCUUGUGGAGACAAACAAGCAUGAAUAAUAUCAUAUUGUUUACAAGCUUCUUAAGUUGGUAUUGAUUCUGCUAGUAGCUACUGCUAGUGUUGAAAGGGUAUUCUCUUCAAUGAGCCAUGUGAAGAAUAAGCUAAGGAGCAAAAUGGGUGAUGAAUAUUUGAACAAUUGUUUGGUUACAUUUGUUGAGAGAGAACUUUUCAAUCAAGUGAAGGAUGAAGAUGUCAUCAAUCUCUUUCAAAAAGGCGACCGCAAAGUUAUAUUGUAAGAAGGAUAACAUCACUUUAUCAAUCAAAAGGUACUUAUGUAUUUA
This is a long non-coding RNA of Triticum dicoccoides, 818 nucleotides long. RefSeq lists it as uncharacterized. NCBI's taxonomy places the organism in Eukaryota, Viridiplantae, Streptophyta, Magnoliopsida, Poales, Poaceae. The record is from RefSeq and is a predicted model, not a curated record. The transcript has 2 exons.